This 2569-nucleotide long non-coding RNA is filed under the name Homo sapiens (human). Its description in RNAcentral is "non-protein coding lnc-PADI1-1:9". Lineage: Eukaryota; Metazoa; Chordata; Mammalia; Primates; Hominidae. The record is from RNAcentral.
AAGAGAGAGCACGUCCAGAACACGCCAGAGACUGUCUCUUCCUGACUCUGCCAGCCCUAGAUUGGGAGCUCUGAGAUGACAUAGGCUGCGUCCCACCCCAGCAGCAGCAUGCAAGGUCAAAAGGCUGUGGCAGGAGGCCAGGCAGAUCACAGCGUCCAUGCCUAGAUGCUCCCUGACCCCCAGGAACCAGAAGUGCUGUCUCCUGAAGGCUCUGGAAACCCGGAAUCAGCCUACGAGGCACCAGGGCCACCUUGGAGGGUGGAAAUGAGGACCUCAGGCCCCAGAGGGCAUGCAGGCGAGGUGAAGUUCAGGAGAGGGGAAAGAACAUGGGCUGUGUGGCCUUGGACCAAUUGCUUGCCCUCUCUGGGCCUUCUUAUUGGUGACAGACAGACUGGUGACUUUCUGAGAGGAUCUAUGCAACCUCAGGCUCCUGCACCUGGGUUACAGGGUCUUCUGGAGGGGAAGAGAUGAGCAGGUAGGCUUUGACACCUGCCUGCUUUGUCCUGAGUGUCUACUAUGUCAUCUGCUUUAAAUGCGAAGUCCCUGGGACUUGCGAGUUAUCUCUAAGCCUUCUCUUUUCCUGACUUUCUGGGAGUGUGUGUACCCCCAUUCCCUCACCCCAGCCAUCAGGGCCCUUUCUGAGUUGGGCCUCCUUCCUAGCUCUGGGCUAGGCCCCAACCCUGGCCCUUUCCAAGGCCAGCAGGAACUGGAAGGUCCGUACUCAUGCCCUGGGAGGCUCCAGGCUCUAAGGGGUGCUGGAGUGAUGGAGUUGGGCGGCUGGUGCUCAGAGGACCUUAAUGGUGUGGGGACAGCUGGAAACUGGUUGUCUCUUGAACCCUCUUGCCACCAGGCCUCUGUCCAGGAGGGCUGCUGGGGGCCAAUGGGCCAGACACCAGACAGUCACACCUUUGGCAGGGCUGAAGUCGGGGGGUGUGUGACACAAUGGGAGGGGCUGGGCCUGGCAGUCCCUGCAGCCUAUAAGCACCAGCAACCCAUGAGGGGACACAGGCACCCUCUGGCCUCAUCCUUCUUGGAGCCAGUGGGAUGUAGCAACUAAAAUACAAGCUCUGAAGUUUCAUGGACUGGAGUUGCAUCUCUGCUUCCAUCCUAAUUAGCAAGAGACCUUGGUCACGUUGCUUAAACUCUGACACUAGAUUUUCCCCCUCUGCAAAGCAAGGACAAUAGCAGUGCUCCCUUCCCGGGUCAGUUGCAAGGAUUAAGGAUGAUGUCUGCAAAGUGCUUAGUCAGAGCCGGCAUACGGUAAGUGCUCAAUAAAUGCUGGCUCCCAUUAUUAGUAUCCCUUCCCUCCACGCCCUCAACACAUCCCUUUAUCAUGAUGGAAUAACCAAUUGCCUGGUAACAACAUGUUCACACUUCCACGCUCCCCAUCAACCAUGCUCACCUAUAAGGCAGGCUGCGACCAGCUCCUCUUCAUCUAUUCAUUGCCUGGCCCAUGCUAGGGGCCCAAGAAAUGUCUGCUGCAUCAACGAGUGAUUUUGGGAAAGGUGCUGAGCCCUUCUGUCCCAUGAAGUUCUUGCGAGACAGUGUCUCACCAGCAACCUGGAUCGUGAGAACCACAGCGGGUGGGCCAGAUCUAGAUGGAGAGUGUCCAUUGGGCAGAGCUGCUUCUGUGAAAGGAAAGGAAGUUUUUCAAGAAACCAUGAGGGGGGCCCAAGAAUCCAAGUUUCUAACUCUGGGAUCGGUUUUCUGUCUUUUACCUCGGUUUGCCUCUCCCUAGCUGUGUGGUUUAUGGCAAGUCACUCUGUGCCUCUGUCUCCACGUGUUCAAGGAGGCAGCCGGUCCAAGGGGCCUUCAUAGAAGGGGCUGCCGAGAUGUGAGCCCUGCAUUGGGGGGAUGCCCCACAGAGGUGCUGUCCCCCAUCCCCUUUCCAGGUAUGAGUGUCCCCCAGCUCUGAGUGAAUCAGUAGGAGGUGCUGGACCUGGGCUGAUUCUCACAGUGGGACCUCAACUCUAGCCCCGGGUUGGCUGACAUUAGAGGACUUUGGGUCGUUGUUCUGGCAGCUGCAAGGAAGAGCCAAUGUCAGGGAGGGAAACCCCACAUUCCCUGGCACUAUCCAAACAAAGGUUUGGUUAAAACAAAGAAUUCUCAUGGAGAAGAGUCUGAAGGACCCAAAACACAUAUUUCUGUAGACAUCCCAUCCCAAAAUAAACCCAUGGAUCAAGCCAGACCCAAAUACAAGGAUGCUGUGAACCACAUGGUUGAAUAUUCCACACUUUCCCCAUCCAUUAAACCCCACCCAGGGUGGGAAGGGGAUGGAUUUCCCUCAGUUCUCAGGGCCUAGAAGAGCAGGGCUUUUUUCCCUCAACUGGUUGAGUUUUACUUUGUGAGCACCAUGAUUCCUAAAACCAGUUAUAUUUUCUUUUUCUCUUGGGCCGCCAGGGAACUCACAGCGAAAUCUACCAACCAAAGAGGAUGUCCAUACCUGUCUUUUUCUUUCUUCCUUCAUUUUUUGACUUAAUUUCCUCACUUGAAAAAAAAAAAUAAAACACCUUAUUCAGGGUAUACUUUAUGGGCAGUCUUAAUUUUUUUUAUUAGGAUGUGGGAUGUA